Non-coding RNA from Heterocephalus glaber (naked mole-rat), 3394 nucleotides. NCBI's taxonomy places the organism in Eukaryota, Metazoa, Chordata, Mammalia, Rodentia, Bathyergidae. The record is from RefSeq and is a predicted model, not a curated record.
AUAGCACGGGUAGACAAAACUGAAAAGCAGAGCAACAAGGGGUAGCAGGUUUACAGUAUCUGGCCCUAAGGUGUGGGUGGCGCAGCUAUUUAGUGUUAGGCCUCACUUUUGAGUUGUCUUCCCGUAGGAACCAUUAGGGAGAUGAAGAAAGGUGCUUACUUAGUAAAUUAGAAUCCAGAAACAAUCAUCCCUUACUGCCACAGGCCAAGGGGCUUGCUCCUUCACAGCAUCAACUGCCCCAGCGCUCGGCCUUCAUUUCAUUUCAUUUUCUUUCUGCAAAGUCAGCCUGACAGCCCGCCUGCCCUCCAAAAAGCCACCACUCUAAGAAUUCGUGCUUCUCUGGAUAUCAUGUGACAGAGAGGCGACCAGUCUUCCUAGUGAGAGAGCAACUGCGCAUUCAAAAACAGAGGGGCUUAUCUCAGAGUACUUCUCAUUUUAGGAUGGGCAGGGUGUGUUCCUUCCCCAAAUUCCUUCCAAAGGAAGGACUCCACCCUUCAGCGAAGGCCUGACCGGAAGGGGUGGGCUCCGUGUCUGGACGCCGCGCUUCCUCCACCAUGGCGUCUCGUGGGGUCGUUGGCGUCUGCUUGCUCUCUGCUCUCCCUCUCUUGUGUCUGGAACUCCAGCGUGGGAUCCCAGAGAUAGGAAUUAAAGAUUUCAUUUUGCUGUGUGGCCGGAUUUUCUUGCUGCUUGCUCUUCUUACUUUAAUUAUUUCCAUGACUACCUCAUUGCUUAACUCAUACAAAUCUUCCCAAGUUUAUCAAAAAGAAGAUGAGGAAGAAAAGAAUGAGAGAAGACAAAAACUUGUGAGAAAUAAACAACAAGAAGCACAGAGUGAAAAGGCCAGUAGAUACACAGAGAACAUUUUAAAACCUCGCCAGGAAAUGAAGUUAAAAAAACUGGAAGAACGCUUUUAUCAAAUGACGGGUGAAACCUGGAAGUUAACCAGUAGUCACAAACUUAGGGGUGAUGAAGAUUUGGUGCUUGAAAAUGUGGGCCAGUCAUCUUUUGAAACAUCAAACAGAGAAGCCGCUAAGAGACGAAACUUGCCCAAUCCUUUAACCCAAGUUCCGCCACCUGCUGACCAGCCCUUGCAGAAAGAGGUUCCUGACUUACCUGAAGAACCUUCUGAAACAGCUAAAGAAGGAUUGAACUCGGGACCUUGCACUUGUGAAGCAGGCAACAGAACCACUGAGCUAAGUCCCUGGGAAACAAAUUUUAAUUUUAAAUCAAAUUUCACUUAACAGUUUGUGUUUGGGACACUGAUUUUUUUUUUUUUGUCCUUUUUUAGUAUAUGUGCUGCCGAAGCAAGCACUUUUUUUUCUUUUUUAAGAUGGUCUCAGUAUGUAGUUCAGGCUUACCUUGAACUCACUAUGUAGUCCAGGCUGGCCUCCUGCCUCAGCCUCUUGAGCGCUAGGAUUACAAGCAUGCACUACCACACCAGGCAUAGGACACUGAUUUUUUUUCCAGUAUGAAUUGCAGCCCACACAUUUUAGCUAUGUCAGCCUACUCCAUUGUCAGUAAUAGUAGGAGAAACUGUACAACCAACCUUCCCAGUGAUUGUAAUAGAAUAAUUGCUAGAUUUCAAACAGUUCAUUUCUCUCAAGUAUUUAUCUCAUCAUGAAAAAUAUUCACUAAAUUUUAACUGUAGUUUCUCAUAAGGCAGUUAGCUUUUUUUAAAAAAAUAAGGCAGUUAGCUUUAAUUUUGCUGUCACAUUAUUGCAGUGUAAACAAAACCUUGAUGGAAAAAUUUUAUUGUUUUUCCAACCAAGCAAAGUUGGCUUUUAAAAGUAUGUGAUUUAUUUAUUUUAUGAUUUGUUUUAUUACAGAAUUUUUUCCUUGGUAGACAUAAUAUAGCAGGGCAGUAGAACUUUCUUUUUUCUUUUUCUUUUUUUAAGCGUAGGAAAAAUUUAUUGGGAGAAAGAAAGCUUCUGCCUGAGAGAGACAGAAGACGGACCAGAAAGUGGGUUGCCUGCCCACCCCACUUUUCAAAGAUGUUUUAUACAGCAAAGCCAUGUGGUAGUUACUGUUGCUCUUCGAUGUCCAAAUGGGAGAGUACUGAGAAGAAGGUUUUUUAAGUCUUGCAGUUCACAGUUUACAGCAUUCUAGGGCUGCUUCAGCUGGCAUCUUCAAACUGUUGCAAACUCCUUCCAUGAACCCACUCCAAAGGCUUCUGAAUCACAUGGUUUUAUUUGCCUGGUUAAUGAAAAUUGGGUACCACACAUCUCUAUAUAGCCUUUUCACUUCCUUUCCCAGAAGACUUCUGGAAGUAAAGGGAGGCUGGUCACUGGCUGACAUAGGAAUAACUACACAUACUGUACUCAUCGUGGACGAGAAAGAAUAGAGCAACUAGUAAAGAAAUGAGAACUACCUGUUCUACAUUAAAUCAGUUAUACUGUGACCUAACAGUUCAAUAACAGAUUCUUGUUAAAAUUAUGCUGUACCUUGACUGAGUUUAAGACAAUAAACAUUUUAAAUUGAUAUACAUAGGAAUAUAUUGAUGUAAAGGAUUGAAAAAGACUCAUUUCUGCAUGUAAGUUUUGGAAUGUGUCAUCUUAUAAUGUACCAAAUAAGAAUGGGAUAACAAUGUAUAUACAAGAAGGCAGUCUAUUUAUAUUUCUUUCCAACUGCCAUCAUUUCUCACUAUGUUAAAAACAUUUUUGGUUUCUGCCUCUUUAAUCCUUAACUCCACAGUUACUAUUUUACAAUUCAUUCAGACCUUUCAAAAUCAUGUAAGUAGGAGUCUUUACUCUACAGUUAUUUAAGUUUAAAAACUUAAGUUCUUUAAGUCUUUACUGUUCUUGUGAAUGGUAUGCAUUAUUGUUUACUUGGCUGAUGUCUACAAUGCAUAUAAUUUUACCUUGUAUUAAUUGCAACAUUUGCAACAUUCCAGGUGGAAAUCUCUGAAAGCAUUAAAACAUUGGUGAUGUUUUUUAGUCUCUCAUUUCCUUUUCUUGCUCAUAAACCUGUAAUGGUAUACUCAUGCACUAUAAUUACCAUGUUCAAACUGAGUAUAAAGGGCUAUUAACUUGGUUGUAGUCACUCCUUUCUUUCCUGUGCUCACCCACCCUAUUCCUUUUUGCUCACCUGACUCCUCUGUGUUACCCUUCAUUUAACACUUCUUUAUUCCUUUACUGUGGAGUUUAUUACACUGUGACUAUUCUUAUUUUGCCAAAUAAUCCCUUGGGGAAAAGCUAUGUCUUUUUUCCCUGCAGAAGUACUAUAUAGUAGAUGCUUACUUAAUACGUGUUUGAAAAUAUUAGUAAGUUGUCUCAAUUUUUAACUUUUUGUGUCUGAACUAUGCCACAUUAAAAAACAUUGAUUGUAAAUUAUAAAAGAUCUUCAAAACCUUAUAAAGUAAAAAAUAAAAAAUCUUCCAUAAUCCUGUACCCAGAAA